This is a non-coding RNA of Jatropha curcas, 424 nucleotides long. The record is from RefSeq and is a predicted model, not a curated record. Lineage: Eukaryota; Viridiplantae; Streptophyta; Magnoliopsida; Malpighiales; Euphorbiaceae.
UUUUAACAAAUUUCUCUUGCGCCAACCAUACAUACAAGGAAAAGUUUAUGACAAUCGCCUCCUCUCCAGGAAGCAAUUCGUAAGCCCUUUCUCAUUUUCGUCCCCAUUUGAGCGCACUUCACGAGCUGAGUUCGGGAUGAAUGGAACUUGCAGAUUCAGAAAAUAGAUUAUAGAGGAAUAGAGAGACACUCAUUGGUUAUGCCUCCUGGUCAUUCUCAUAGCAGGCCUUUCAUUUAUGGAGCCAAAUGAUCAUCAAGAGGUGGAGGAAAUACAAGACUUUUUGUUAUUGACUAUUGAAUCUAUUCAUGUUUCCCCUUUAAUGUGAUUGAUUACAGCUUUUUUGUUUUUAGCAUGCUAAGAAAUCCGAUGGAUGAAUUAAAUUCUGGGAAUGGAUUGAAAAAAUGAAGCAUUAGUUAUUCUCUUA